Molecule: non-coding RNA, 103 nt
Organism: Peniophora sp. CONT
Lineage: Eukaryota; Fungi; Basidiomycota; Agaricomycetes; Russulales; Peniophoraceae
Source: the annotation of a GenBank genome assembly
UCGGAUAUGGUGUAACGGCUAACAUUGCCGCCUCUCAGUAUUGCGGGGAUAAGACCCUAAAAUCGGAUCGCGGCAGCUCGGGGUUCGAUUCCCCGUAUCCGAA